RNAcentral lists this ribosomal RNA (334 nucleotides) under Salmonella enterica. RNAcentral describes it as "bacterial SSU rRNA". It matches the Rfam family "Bacterial small subunit ribosomal RNA", at positions 462 to 795 of the family's 1533-position model. The record is from RNAcentral. Lineage: Bacteria; Pseudomonadati; Pseudomonadota; Gammaproteobacteria; Enterobacterales; Enterobacteriaceae.
AGCGCAAGUGACGGUACCUGCAGAAGAAGCACCGGCUAACUACGUGCCAGCAGCCGCGGUAAUACGUAGGGUGCGAGCGUUGUCCGGAAUUAUUGGGCGUAAAGAGCUUGUAGGCGGUUUGUCGCGUCUGCCGUGAAAAUUCGAGGCUCAACCUCGAACUUGCGGUGGGUACGGGCAGACUAGAGUGUGGUAGGGGAGACUGGAAUUCCUGGUGUAGCGGUGAAAUGCGCAGAUAUCAGGAGGAACACCGAUGGCGAAGGCAGGUCUCUGGGCCACUACUGACGCUGAGAAGCGAAAGCAUGGGGAGCGAACAGGAUUAGAUACCCUGGUAGUC